Long non-coding RNA from Rhodamnia argentea, 198 nucleotides. RefSeq lists it as uncharacterized. The record is from RefSeq and is a predicted model, not a curated record. Lineage: Eukaryota; Viridiplantae; Streptophyta; Magnoliopsida; Myrtales; Myrtaceae. The transcript has 3 exons.
GAACAACGUUCCUAAAUUUUAGAGUAUGCGCUCAUGCAUCAUAACUGAUAGUAAUUCGGUUUUUUGAGUCGCUGUUGGCAGGAAGUUUGCUGGCUAAUGUCUAUAGAGUUCAUUUGCACUUACUAUCAACCUAUUACGACGAACUAAGAACAAACCAAAGCUGUUAAUAGGUGGCUUGAAACUUAUCAUGUGUAUGAU